RNAcentral lists this unclassified non-coding RNA (479 nucleotides) under Aspergillus sp. 4 JS-2017. Its description in RNAcentral is "sequence contains ITS1, 5.8S rRNA gene and ITS2". The stretch from base 143 to 296 matches the Rfam family "5.8S ribosomal RNA". The record is from RNAcentral. Lineage: Eukaryota; Fungi; Ascomycota; Eurotiomycetes; Eurotiales; Aspergillaceae.
GUAUACCGUACCCUGUUGCUUCGGCGGGCCCGCCUCACGGCCGCCGGGGGACCUCGCGUCCCCGGGCCCGCGCCCGCCGAAGACCCCAACACGAACACUGUCUGAAAAGUGCAGUCUGAGUCGAUUGUUACCAAUCAGUCAAAACUUUCAACAAUGGAUCUCUUGGUUCCGGCAUCGAUGAAGAACGCAGCGAAAUGCGAUAACUAAUGUGAAUUGCAGAAUUCAGUGAAUCAUCGAGUCUUUGAACGCACAUUGCGCCCCCUGGUAUUCCGGGGGGCAUGCCUGUCCGAGCGUCAUUGCUGCCCUCAAGCACGGCUUGUGUGUUGGGCCCCGUCCCCGGUACCCCCGGGGACGGGCCCGAAAGGCAGCGGCGGCACCGCGUCCGGUCCUCGAGCGUAUGGGGCUUUGUCACCCGCUCUGCAGGCCCGGCCGGCGCCAGCCGACCAACCCAACCAUUUUUUACAGGUGACCUCGGAUCA